RNAcentral lists this ribosomal RNA (253 nucleotides) under uncultured bacterium. RNAcentral's name for it is "partial 16S ribosomal RNA". It matches the Rfam family "Bacterial small subunit ribosomal RNA", at positions 524 to 776 of the family's 1533-position model. The record is from RNAcentral.
UACGUAGGGGGCAAGCGUUGUCCGGAAUUAUUGGGCGUAAAGAGCGUGUAGGCGGUCCGGUAAGUCAGCUGUGAAAGUCAAGGGCUCAACCCUUGAAAGCCGGUUGAUACUGUCGGGCUAGAGUCCGGAAGAGGCGAGUGGAAUUCCCGGUGUAGCGGUGAAAUGCGCAGAUAUCGGGAAGAACACCCGUGGCUAAGGCGGCUCUCUAGUACGGUACUGACGCUGAGACGCGAAAGCGUGGGGAGCGAACAGG